GUUUGAUCAUGGCUCAGAUUGAACGCUGGCGGCAGGCUUAACACAUGCAAGUCGAGCGGUAACAGGAAGAAGCUUGCUUCUUUGCUGACGAGCGGCGGACGGGUGAGUAAUGCCUAGGAAUCUGCCUGGUAGUGGGGGAUAACUUGCCGAAAGGUAAGCUAAUACCGCAUACGUCCUACGGGAGAAAGCAGGGGGAGCCUUCGGGGUCCUUGCGCUAUUAGAUGAGCCUAGGUCGGAUUAGCUAGUUGGUAGGGUAAAGGCCUACCAAGGCGACGAUCCGUAGCUGGUCUGAGAGGAUGAUCAGCCACACCGGGACUGAGACACGGCCCGGACUCCUACGGGAGGCAGCAGUGGGGAAUAUUGGACAAUGGGGGGGAACCUGGAUCCAGCCAUGCCGCGUGUGUG
This 405-nucleotide ribosomal RNA is filed under the name uncultured bacterium. RNAcentral describes it as "bacterial SSU rRNA". It matches the Rfam family "Bacterial small subunit ribosomal RNA", at positions 11 to 407 of the family's 1533-position model. The record is from RNAcentral.